UAAGGUGACUAGGGCAAUGUGGCUCACCUCUUCCCAUACCGAACAGAGAAGUUAAGCACAUUUGCGCCGAUGGUACUGCCUUGCGGUGGGAGAGUAGGUCGUCGCCUUCU
RNAcentral lists this ribosomal RNA (110 nucleotides) under Flavobacteriaceae bacterium. The record is from RNAcentral. Lineage: Bacteria; Pseudomonadati; Bacteroidota; Flavobacteriia; Flavobacteriales; Flavobacteriaceae.